Molecule: ribosomal RNA, 397 nt
Filed under: uncultured bacterium
Lineage: Bacteria
Description: partial 16S ribosomal RNA
Rfam family: Bacterial small subunit ribosomal RNA
Source: RNAcentral
AUACGUAGGGGGCGAGCGUUGUCCGGAAUGAUUGGGCGUAAAGGGCGCGUAGGCGGCGCGGUAAGUCUGGAGUGAAAGUCCUGCUUUCAAGGUGGGAAUUGCUUUGGAUACUGCCGCGCUUGAGUGCAGGAGAGGUUAUCGGAAUUCCCGGUGUAGCGGUGAAAUGCUUAGAGAUCGGGAGGAACACCAGUGGCGAAGGCGGGUAACUGGACUGCAACUGACGCUGAGGCGCGAAAGUGUGGGGAGCAAACAGGAUUAGAUACCCUGGUAGUCCACACUGUAAACGAUGAAUGCUAGGUGUAAGGGGUAUCGACCCCUUUUGUGCCGGAGUUAACACAAUAAGCAUUCCGCCUGGGGAGUACGGCCGCAAGGUUGAAACUCAAAGGAAUUGACGGGG